CCUACGGGGGGCAGCAGUGGGGAAUAUUGCACAAUGGGCGCAAGCCUGAUGCAGCGACGCCGCGUGAGGGAUGACGGCCUUCGGGUUGUAAACCUCUUUCAAUAGGGACGAAGCGCAAGUGACGGUACCUAUAGAAGAAGGACCGGCCAACUACGUGCCAGCAGCCGCGGUAAUACGUAGGGUCCGAGCGUUGUCCGGAAUUACUGGGCGUAAAGAGCUCGUAGGUGGUUUGUCGCGUUGUUCGUGAACACUCACAGCUUAACUGUGGGCGUGCG
This 275-nucleotide ribosomal RNA is filed under the name uncultured Mycobacterium sp. RNAcentral's name for it is "partial 16S ribosomal RNA". It matches the Rfam family "Bacterial small subunit ribosomal RNA", at positions 338 to 625 of the family's 1533-position model. Lineage: Bacteria; Bacillati; Actinomycetota; Actinomycetes; Mycobacteriales; Mycobacteriaceae. The record is from RNAcentral.